This 211-nucleotide long non-coding RNA is filed under the name Gossypium barbadense (sea-island cotton). RNAcentral's name for it is "long non-coding RNA (GBAR_LNC014931)". The record is from RNAcentral. Lineage: Eukaryota; Viridiplantae; Streptophyta; Magnoliopsida; Malvales; Malvaceae.
CUAGAUGUGGUUAUGGAAUCCAACGCGAUUUCGGCGUCUGAAAGCUCUUGAAAAGAAAAACUAUUUGGAAAGAAAGUCACUAAGCCUACUAAGUUGGGUAUUCUGGGAAGCAAAGAUCUUGUGUUCUCGGAGGAUGAUAUAUUGAAAUCUAUCGUUAAUGGCAUACCGGUGAUUGAUUUUUCAGAAUGAAUUCAAAAACUCAUAGUAAAAG